AGUAUUAGUUAUGUUCUUGAAAAUUAAAAAAGUUGGCGGUAUUUUAGUCUAUUUAGAGGAACCUGUCCUAUAAUCGAUAAUCCACGAUUUGAUUAACUUGUUGUUUAAGUUUGCAUAUCGCCGUAGGUUGAAUAUUUUUAAAGAAUUAGGAAUGUUCAAUAAUUUUAUAAAAAAAGAAUUCAGGUCAAGAUGUAGCAGAUAAAUAAGGAGAGAUGGGUUACAAUAAAUUUAUUUAUGACUAAUUAAUAAGUUUAAUUUUAUUAUGAGGGUGGAUUUAAGGGUAAU
This 285-nucleotide ribosomal RNA is filed under the name Elytrurus simmondsi. RNAcentral describes it as "partial 12S ribosomal RNA". The record is from RNAcentral. Lineage: Eukaryota; Metazoa; Arthropoda; Insecta; Coleoptera; Curculionidae.